This 1226-nucleotide ribosomal RNA is filed under the name Pseudomonas aeruginosa. Its description in RNAcentral is "bacterial SSU rRNA". It matches the Rfam family "Bacterial small subunit ribosomal RNA", at positions 41 to 1318 of the family's 1533-position model. The record is from RNAcentral. Lineage: Bacteria; Pseudomonadati; Pseudomonadota; Gammaproteobacteria; Pseudomonadales; Pseudomonadaceae.
UGUUGGCCUAACACAUGCAGUCGAGCGGAUGAAGGGAGCUUGCUCCUGGAUUCAGCGGCGGACGGGUGAGUAAUGCCUAGGAAUCUGCCUGGUAGUGGGGGAUAACGUCCGGAAACGGGCGCUAAUACCGCAUACGUCCUGAGGGAGAAAGUGGGGGAUCUUCGGACCUCACGCUAUCAGAUGAGCCUAGGUCGGAUUAGCUAGUUGGUGGGGUAAAGGCCUACCAAGGCGACGAUCCGUAACUGGUCUGAGAGGAUGAUCAGUCACACUGGAACUGAGACACGGUCCAGACUCCUACGGGAGGCAGCAGUGGGGAAUAUUGGACAAUGGGCGAAAGCCUGAUCCAGCCAUGCCGCGUGUGUGAAGAAGGUCUUCGGAUUGUAAAGCACUUUAAGUUGGGAGGAAGGGCAGUAAGUUAAUACCUUGCUGUUUUGACGUUACCAACAGAAUAAGCACCGGCUAACUUCGUGCCAGCAGCCGCGGUAAUACGAAGGGUGCAAGCGUUAAUCGGAAUUACUGGGCGUAAAGCGCGCGUAGGUGGUUCAGCAAGUUGGAUGUGAAAUCCCCGGGCUCAACCUGGGAACUGCAUCCAAAACUACUGAGCUAGAGUACGGUAGAGGGUGGUGGAAUUUCCUGUGUAGCGGUGAAAUGCGUAGAUAUAGGAAGGAACACCAGUGGCGAAGGCGACCACCUGGACUGAUACUGACACUGAGGUGCGAAAGCGUGGGGAGCAAACAGGAUUAGAUACCCUGGUAGUCCACGCCGUAAACGAUGUCGACUAGCCGUUGGGAUCCUUGAGAUCUUAGUGGCGCAGCUAACGCGAUAAGUCGACCGCCUGGGGAGUACGGCCGCAAGGUUAAAACUCAAAUGAAUUGACGGGGGCCCGCACAAGCGGUGGAGCAUGGUGGUUUAAUUCGAAGCAACGCGAAGAACCUUACCUGGCCUUGACAUGCUGAGACUUUCAGAGAAUGGAUUGUGCCUUCGGGACUCAGACACAGUGCUGCAUGCUGUCGUCAGCUCGUGUCGUGAGAAUGUUUGGGUAGUCCCGUACGAGCGCACCCUUGUCUUAGUACAGCACUCGGUGGCACUCUAGGAACUGCGUGACAACGGAGAAAAGUGGGGAUGACGUCAGUCAUCAUGCUACGCAGCUACACUGCUCAUGUCGUUACAAGUCAGCGAGUGACCUAUCCUAACGAUGAAUUCGAAUCGGAUUCGGCAUCUGAAUG